RNAcentral lists this ribosomal RNA (1464 nucleotides) under Streptococcus thermophilus. RNAcentral describes it as "16S ribosomal RNA". It matches the Rfam family "Bacterial small subunit ribosomal RNA". The record is from RNAcentral. Lineage: Bacteria; Bacillati; Bacillota; Bacilli; Lactobacillales; Streptococcaceae.
GAACGCUGGCGGCGUGCCUAAUACAUGCAAGUAGAACGCUGAAGAGAGGAGCUUGCUCUUCUUGGAUGAGUUGCGAACGGGUGAGUAACGCGUAGGUAACCUGCCUUGUAGCGGGGGAUAACUAUUGGAAACGAUAGCUAAUACCGCAUAACAAUGGAUGACACAUGUCAUUUAUUUGAAAGGGGCAAUUGCUCCACUACAAGAUGGACCUGCGUUGUAUUAGCUAGUAGGUGAGGUAAUGGCUCACCUAGGCGACGAUACAUAGCCGACCUGAGAGGGUGAUCGGCCACACUGGGACUGAGACACGGCCCAGACUCCUACGGGAGGCAGCAGUAGGGAAUCUUCGGCAAUGGGGGCAACCCUGACCGAGCAACGCCGCGUGAGUGAAGAAGGUUUUCGGAUCGUAAAGCUCUGUUGUAAGUCAAGAACGGGUGUGAGAGUGGAAAGUUCACACUGUGACGGUAGCUUACCAGAAAGGGACGGCUAACUACGUGCCAGCAGCCGCGGUAAUACGUAGGUCCCGAGCGUUGUCCGGAUUUAUUGGGCGUAAAGCGAGCGCAGGCGGUUUGAUAAGUCUGAAGUUAAAGGCUGUGGCUCAACCAUAGUUCGCUUUGGAAACUGUCAAACUUGAGUGCAGAAGGGGAGAGUGGAAUUCCAUGUGUAGCGGUGAAAUGCGUAGAUAUAUGGAGGAACACCGGUGGCGAAAGCGGCUCUCUGGUCUGCAACUGACGCUGAGGCUCGAAAGCGUGGGGAGCGAACAGGAUUAGAUACCCUGGUAGUCCACGCCGUAAACGAUGAGUGCUAGGUGUUGGAUCCUUUCCGGGAUUCAGUGCCGCAGCUAACGCAUUAAGCACUCCGCCUGGGGAGUACGACCGCAAGGUUGAAACUCAAAGGAAUUGACGGGGGCCCGCACAAGCGGUGGAGCAUGUGGUUUAAUUCGAAGCAACGCGAAGAACCUUACCAGGUCUUGACAUCCCGAUGCUAUUUCUAGAGAUAGAAAGUUACUUCGGUACAUCGGUGACAGGUGGUGCAUGGUUGUCGUCAGCUCGUGUCGUGAGAUGUUGGGUUAAGUCCCGCAACGAGCGCAACCCCUAUUGUUAGUUGCCAUCAUUCAGUUGGGCACUCUAGCGAGACUGCCGGUAAUAAACCGGAGGAAGGUGGGGAUGACGUCAAAUCAUCAUGCCCCUUAUGACCUGGGCUACACACGUGCUACAAUGGUUGGUACAACGAGUUGCGAGUCGGUGACGGCGAGCUAAUCUCUUAAAGCCAAUCUCAGUUCGGAUUGUAGGCUGCAACUCGCCUACAUGAAGUCGGAAUCGCUAGUAAUCGCGGAUCAGCACGCCGCGGUGAAUACGUUCCCGGGCCUUGUACACACCGCCCGUCACACCACGAGAGUUUGUAACACCCGAAGUCGGUGAGGUAACCUUUUGGAGCCAGCCGCCUAAGGUGGGACAGAUGAUUGGG